This 6490-nucleotide long non-coding RNA is filed under the name Homo sapiens (human). RNAcentral describes it as "HSALNT0391223". Lineage: Eukaryota; Metazoa; Chordata; Mammalia; Primates; Hominidae. The record is from RNAcentral.
CUCAGGUAAUCCACCUGCCUCAGCCUCCCAAAGUGCUGGGAUUACAGGCAUGAGCCACCGUGCCCGGCCAGCAUUUUUCAACAAGGGCUUUGCAUUCCAUUUGCUGAAGGGGGUGCGCUGUAAUUUGAUCAAUCCCCUUUUCUUGGACAUUUAGGUUGGUUCCAAUUUUUAUAUCAUCAUAAACCAGCAAUUAGCAUGCUUUUUCUGUAAAGAGCUAGGUGGUAUUUGUUCUGGCCUUUGCAGAUCACAAGUUCUCUCUUAGAACUACUGAGCUCUGCCAUUACGGCAAAAAACCAGCCACAGACAAUGCAUAUAUGAAUGCACAUGGCUGUGUUUCAAUCAGACUUUAUUUAGAAAAACAGGUGGUGGCCAGAUCUGGCCUGUGAGCCAUGGCAUGGUUCACUGAACCAACUCUAUAAACAUUGUGUGGUACAUCUUUUUGAAGCCAAACUUUCCUAGUAUGAAAUGAUCAUUUUCUUGUGACAAUGAUUUUAUACUGUUUCUUUUUAGAAGUAGGACCCUUCUUUGAAUGAAACUUAGUAAGAUUCAUAUAAGUAACAGAACCUUCCAGGUCUGAGCUGAGGUGUCAUCUCUGAACACCAGGCUGCUGCACUAACCAGAAGACCCCUCCCCACCUGCAGUGGCCUCGCUGCAUCGUAAGGAUGGAGGAGCUGUUGUCUCCACAGCUGACAGGUGCUUAGUGGUUAGAAGUCUGGUUUUCGCGCGGCUUAGAUCUUUAACAUCUGAACUAGUCCUGUCAACAUAUUUUGUUAUAUUUCUGGUGGCUUUGUCUUUGAUGCUAUUAUAAAUGAUUAUCUUUUAAAAUAAUACUUUGAUGAUAUAUAGAAAUGAAAUUGAUUUAUUUGACUGUAUCCAGCAACCUUUUCAAAUUCUAAUAAAUUGUGUAGGGAAAAAAAAGUCUGGCUUCGGAGUCAGAACGGAAUUGAAUCCUGCCUCCACCACUUCCUACCUAUAUGACCUGGUGAAACUUAUCCCUCUCUGUGACUCAGUUUCCUCAUCUGUAAAAUGGGAAAAUUGAAAGCAACUAACAGGUUUGGGGCCGUUUUGCUUGCUGCUGCUGUGGCUUCAGUGCUGAGGCCUGGCACUCAGCGGGAUGUCAGCCCAGGACUGGAGCUUCUUUCUCAUGGUAUUAUUUUGAAUUUAGAUGAAAAGAGGUAUUCCAGGAGAGCUCCUGGCACAGGGCCUGGCAGGUGGCACAUCCUCAGUAAAUGUGAGCUGCUGUCAGCUGCUGUGUGAGUGCCUGGUGUGGCCCUGUUGUCCCCUUGAGGGUUGGGGGACAAAACAGGCCCUCAGGAAGCCUGCCUGUGUAUUCGGGGGCUGGGGAGAUCUCUGACCUCCUGUCUCCUAGCUCCACCAGCAUCUCUCACCUCCCCCAGCAAUGUACAACCCCUUCUUUUCCCAUAGCUUAGGCCCCUGAGGUACCAGCCCCCCAGCCUAGGGACAGCCCAGUGGCAAACUCCUGGUGACCUGGGUCAAGCUGCUGUUCUCCAAUCCCAACUCGGCUCUUCCCGUGACUUGGCCCCCAGGCCUUGGGUGAGGCUCCGAUGAAAUAACACACAGGAAUGUGCGCUGAACACUGCCAAGCACUGCAGGUGGGCAGGGGCUUUGUGCUCCCCAGCGACUGUUCCUAUCCUGCGGGAAUGGAGGAGACCGACAAAGAAGCCCCACUCCUGGGCUGACAUCCUGCCAGUGCCAGCCGGGCCUCAGCACCAGUGGGUCAGCCAGAACAGCAACGACGAACAAUGAGGCCCCAAACCCGUGGGCCCCCCACUUUCUAUCUUGAAUUUCUCUGUCUUUCCUAGGCCAGCAAUGUUUGAGAGGGAGAGCGAGCUGAAGAUUUCCUGAUUUCAGAUAGGCCUAGAGAAGGAUUGUAAUUUUCUAGUGUGAAAAGGAAGUGGCACAAAGAUGAGGGCAAUGAAGAAGAUGGUUCAAUGGAAGUACCAGGGUCCUGUAAAUAGGGAACGUGUUUUAUGAUCAAACCGUUCUUUGCAUUUUUGGUGAUUUUGAGGUUUAAUUUCCUCUAUGUAGUUAGUUAACUAUUUAACACUGAGAGCAGGGGUAGGGAUAAGGCAAACAACAAAAAAGCCAAAAUGAAACCAACUUCUGUGGGGUUUCCCCACCCCAGGGAGGUGGAGGCUGAGGUAGAACUGACUGAGAGAAUCACCCUCCCUGCACUGUGAUGAAGACACAUCCACACAUCAGGACUACACAGCUGGCAGGUGCUGGCUGUCCAGAGGAGCAAACAGCUUCUUCCUUGUGUUUCUGUGUCUCUUAGUAGAAAUCUGUGCCCUUGGGAGAAAACUGAAUUUGCACCCCUUGAGGCAAACACUUGACCAAAUGAAUUAGGCAGAUGGGUGGAUGGGUGGGUGAAUGGGCAGGAGGUGUGACAGGCAGGAGGCGUGACAGGGAAAGAACACUGUUCUGACAGGCACACACUGCCACAUCUGCCCUCCCAACAACCCCGAUACAGACACUGUUGUUAACCCUCCUUUUACAGAUGAGGAAACUGAAGUUAAUUUGCUCGUGGUAACACAGCUAGGCAAGUGGCUACGUUCAGCUGGAGAAAAGGAAAAUUCUGAAAGACUUUAGGAUACAUCUUAUUCAAAAGCAUUUGGUGAACAUAAAUAUGUACCCAAGGUAUAAUAUUAAGUGAACCAAGCUUGUUAUAAAGCAGUAUGAGUCCUGUCUGAUUCCAACUUUAUAAAAAAUAGAUGCAUAUGUCAAUAAAUGCACAGAAAAGGGUAUACCCUAAAAUGUUAAUAAUGGUGAUCUCUGGGUUAUGACACAAAAUAUUGAUUGGUCUUUGGGCUUUUCUUUAAUUUUAAAAUGUUAAUAGACAUGUAUUAUCUUAAUAAUGGGAGGAGCCACAGAAAAAGUGCUUUUCAAAAACAUGAAAUCAAUAAGCCCAUGCAGGACCUGCAGGGGGCUGCAGUCACCUGGGCCUCAUAGGCUUGGCAAAGGCUUUAGUUAUGCCCUGAUUGGAGGCCACUGGCAUGGAGAAGCUGUAGGUCAGCUAACUGGAACUAGGACAUCCAAUGUGAUUGGUUAUGUGUGCAUAUUUGUCUUUCUUCAUUGGGUCCUAAGUUGCAAGCAGGCGCAAAAAUUAAGGAAGCUGUGAGUCAAUGAAGUCCUGGCUGUUUUUCAGCUGGUUGCUAUAGGGUUGUUUUUUGACUUUCUAGACUGGUUGCUGUAGAGGUGGGUCAGAGUUUUACUUUCAUCUAUGGUCUGGCCAUUGUAUUUGUAUAUUCAGUCUCUUAGUCACCCCUUUUGGUCAUUCGCUUACUUUCAAGAGGUUGGCCAAUUCAAGGAAAGCUGGAAAUCUAGCUCUUUAUCACUCAGAGAUUAUUCAGUAAACUCCAUAUAAAACUGUAUUGCAAAAUAUUCCUGACCUUUUUGUUUUUGUAUCAUCAUGGUGAUUUUGACUAGAGAGCAGAUGUGCAGAAGCUUUUAAGAAUCUAGAUAGCACGCAGCAUCAUGUCCACUCUUACAAAGCCAGAAUAAUUAAUAGUUCCUAUAAGGUGAUUUGGAACCAGGAACCUCAAUUGCCAAAUCAAGGCCAAAAUAACAAAUUUGAUAGAUUAUGGGAUCAACCUUAGCCAAAUAGCUUAUACCAUGAAACAAUAUAUAAUAGUUCCAACUUGCUUGUUUCUUUGAUCCAAGGACAAGAAGUAUGAGCAACGGCACAGACACCAGGAUGACUAAAAGAAAAAAAAAAAAAAAACCUAGGGUAAUGUUAUUGUCUAUCACUGCCCAUGCCAAUGAGUUGAGAUUGUUCUGUAUUUGUAUCUAGGACAAAGGCAAUAUCAUCAAUAACUUCUGCCAGAGUGAGUAUCUUAGUCCAUUCAGGCUGCUGUACUAAAAUACCAUAAUUUGGGUGGCUUAUAAAGAAUAGAAAUGUAUUUCUUUCAGUUCUAGAAACUGAGAAAAUCAAGAUAAAGACGCCAGCAGACUCGAGGCCAGGUGUGAUAGCUCAUGCCUGUAAUCCCAGAACUUUGGGAGGCUGAGGUGGGUGGAUCACCUGAGGUCUGGAGUUCAAGACCAGCUUGACCAACAUGGAGAAACCCCGUCUCUACUAAAAAUACAAAAUUAGCCAGGUGUGGUGGUGGGCAACUGUAAUCCCAGCUACUCAGGAGGCGGAGACGGAAGAAUUCCUUGAACCGGGAGGCGGAGGUUGUAGUGAGCUGAGAUCGCGCCACUGCUCCCCAGCCUGGGCCGGAGCCAGACUGUGUCUCAAAAACAAACAACAAAAUAAAACAAGAAAAGAUUUAAUGGAAGACCUCAAUAAGCCAUUGUAGGCUGUAAAAUUCACCUAGUCCAAUCUUUCAGAGUCGUUUUGGACUUGAUAGUAGCUCAGUACCAAGAUCAUUACAGAAGUUAAUACCAAUAAUAGCCAUUGAAUAUAUUGUCUCUAUAAUGUGGAUCAAAUUCUCAUUUGACUGUACUGACAUUGGUGAUAGAAGGUGCAACCUGAUUUACGCUGGGGUAUAUCAGGUGAUUAAAGUUAAGGCAGGCUAGAGAAAAAGUGAAAGCACUCAAAUUGCUGAUUUGGAGUGAAUGAUAAAGCAAUUUAAUACACCGUCUCUAAAGCAUCCGUUUUCGCCUGUCCGAAGAGUUUUAAAGGAUAUUUGGCCAGAAAAUUUCUACCAUGUGUCAGAAUAUUAAUUUGCAUGUAUGCAUUCAUAGUUCAUGGGAUAUUAUUUUAGUGGUUUUAUUAUAACUGCAUAGAAUGGUUUGCUUCUUACUGAAGAUCUUUCUUUUUUUCUUUCGUUCUUUCUCUUUCUUACAGCCAUAGGUGCUUUAAGUCAUUAAACUUUGAGCACUGUAAAAAUAUCUAAAGAGUGCUUAUUUUUAUAACAUUAAUACUCCAUUUGCAACUUUAAUUAUAGUUACUUCAUUUUUAAAAUCUCAGAAGAUAAUGAAAUAUGUAGAAUUGCCAAAACAAUUGAGAAAGCUCACUGCAUUCGUUUGGUAGAGCUGUCGUAACAAAGUGCCAUGGACUGGAUGGCUUAAACAGAAACUUACUUUCUCACAGUUUUAGAUGCCAAAAGUCCAAGAUUAAAGGUAUUGGUAGGUUUGGUUUCUUCUGAGACCUAUUCAAUUGGUCCAUAGACUGCUAUCGUCUCCCCGUGUCUUUACAUCGUCAUUUCUCUGUAUGUGUCUGUGUGUAAAUGUUCUCCUCUUAGAAGCACGCCAGUCACAUUGGAUUAGGACGCACCCUACUGACCUUAUUUAACCUUAAUUGUGUACUUCUCUAAAGACCUUGUCUCCAAGUAUAGAUACUCCGUGAUAUUGAGGGUUAGGACUUCAACACAUGAAUUUGGCGGGGGUGGGUGGGCACAAUUUAGCUCAUAAAACUCACUAAGGUUUAAUUAGGGCAUGGACUGUAGAGCAUUCUACUGUUAAUUUAGUUUUUGUGUUUGGAAAGCAUUUUGAAACAUAAUGAUUUUUAUUUACAAUUUCAUUAUUUAUAUUUUCAUUAUGUUUAGGGUUGCUUGGAGGUAAAUGAAGAAAGAAGAGUUCCGCAUUAGUGAGGCAGGGAUGUCAGUAUAUAAGGAAUUGGAAAGACAUCAGUGAUAAUGGCAAAAGCUGCUUAUAAAUUAAAUUAAGAGCUUAAUUAAACUGAGGAAAAAAGCAUAUUGCCAAAUUACAUGCAGUUGUUUUGUAACAGCAUUUGUCCACUUGCUGUGCCCUGAGAUUUCCAAGGCACAUUCCUCUACUAAGCGUAUUAUAAGAUGAUUAAAUAUGCAUAGUACAAGUAUGUUAUGGAAGGCUGUGUUAACUGAUAUAGUGGGACCACAAUAGUAUGUGUAAGUGAGAUUUGGAAAAUUUGAUAUGCCAGCAAGGACAAAGAAGUGUUGAAUUUGCAAGUUUAUGCACAUAAUUCUGAGAAUCCAGGCAGCUAUUUCUCCUUUUGAAUUGUUCUCUUGGCUAGGGGAUAAGGGUGAGACACAAUACACAUUUGAAUGUGUCACUGUGUAAGUUACCACUGCAAUAUCUUCUGUAUGUUGAAAAACUGGUACUUAUAUGUACUAAUACUAUCUACCAUGAAAAAAACAAUUAAAAAUUUAAAAUAUCAUGUAAAUUAAAUAAAGUUCAAAUACCACUAGCCAGAAAAAAAUAUUUUAUAUUAUAGUCUGGGGUCAGAAGAGGAAAACCUUAUGUAAAGUAUCAAAAUUAAUUUUUAUUUCAAUUUAAAUGCACCAUCAUAUAACAUAGUUUCAUAACUGAAAUUACAUUUGUCAGAAUUUGAUCUUUUCAUUAUUAAAGAAUUGAGGGAAAAUUGAUGGUUAUAAUAUUGAUAUGCCAUGUAAAUAAACUUUUUUUGAUUGUUAUAGGAAUGAAUUGCUCAACUAAUUGGCCAAUGUCAACCACAUAUCUGUUUCCAUGGAAACUGCAGCAAUAUUACUUCAAAUAGUUUCAUUUGUGAAUGUGAUAAACAAUUUUCAGAUAAAAAAUGUAUACAUACAUA